Molecule: ribosomal RNA, 497 nt
Filed under: uncultured bacterium
Lineage: Bacteria
Description: partial 16S ribosomal RNA
Rfam family: Bacterial small subunit ribosomal RNA
Source: RNAcentral
GACGAACGCUGGCGGCGUGCCUAAUACAUGCAAGUUGAGCGAUGAAGAUUGGUGCUUGCACCAAUUUGAAGAGCAGCGAACGGGUGAGUAACGCGUGGGGAAUCUGCCUUUGAGCGGGGGACAACAUUUGGAAACGAAUGCUAAUACCGCAUAACAACUUUAAACAUAAGUUUUAAGUUUGAAAGAUGCAAUUGCCUCACUCAAAGAUGAUCCCGCGUUGUAUUAGCUAGUUGGUGAGGUAAAGGCUCACCAAGGCGGUGAUACAUAGCCGACCUGAGAGGGUGAUCGGCCAAAUUGGGACUGAGACACGGCCCAAACUCCUAAGGGAGGCAGCAGUAGGGAAUCUUCGGAAAUGGACGAAAGUCUGACCGAGCAACGCCGCGUGAGUGAAGAAGGGUUUCGGAUCGUAAAACUCUGUUGGUAGAGAAGAACGUUGGUGAGAGUGGAAAGCUCAUCAAGUGACGGUAACUACACAGAAAGGGACGGCUAACUACGUG